CCUAAGAUCACAAAGCCGGGAUGCAAACUUUGCUAGCCUCCCUCUAGCGCCUAUACUGCUGGCCUGUCUAAGGAGGCAAAGUUACCGCUGGGGAGCACCCAGGUGGUGAGUACAAUUUAAAUUUGAACCCAAGUCUGGCUGACUCCGGGUCGGAGCUUUUAACUCUCCUGCCUAUUUUCCCAAUCUCACCUCAUACAGCCUUUUUAUCUCUGUUUGCCUCCUUUAGGAACCCAAACGUGCUUCCAGAUAUUUCUCUCCUCAGCCCCUACAUCUCCCACCCCCUCUGCCCCCGGGUGGGACAAAGGUUCUCAUGUCUAGAGUUUCCUUCUCUGCUCUGAACUAGUCACCCACAAAUCUCUGCUUUCCAUGAGAAUGCCUGCCCUGGAAGGUCCUAUCUACUCUCCUCCAUUUUCCAUGGAACCGCUUAGAAAUCCCACCCGUCAGCCUCACAAAACUACAUUUCCCAGACUGCUCUGCUCACCGGGAAGGAGAACAAAAAUCCCAUGUCAAAGCAUGUGGCUCCUAUUUUGGGGUCGGAAAAUCUGGUCACUAGCUUGGAUAAAGCGUCCCCCUCCUCUUCCUGUCCCUGCUGAGCCUGGCACAGAAGGGGUCAAUGAAUAUUUGCGGAACGACUGCUCCAAGACUUUGUUUCUUCUCUUACCUAUAAUGACUACCUCCCAGAUAAAUAAGCAUCUCUUUCUCUCUGCCCCGGCCUAAACACCUGACGUAGUCACAAGGUCCCUCCCGGCUCCUGCCCCAAGUCCCUGUGCUUCCACAGGAGGCCCCUUCCAGAACUAACAGCCUGGGGUUCUGUUUGAAGUUUUUCAAUUUCCGAAGUCCCAAGAUUCUGUAACCCAUGUUAAGCACAAGAAAUCUUUUGAUCGGCUGCUAUACCUCCUGCCCAAGCACAGAAGAGAAAGCCCUGGGGAGGACCUGGAUUGUCACAGUGUUGUCCUUCCAGAGAAGGUCGACCAGAGGUCGGCCCUGCUGAGAACAGGCAGCUGAGGUCUCGCAAUGUCCAGACAUUCGGCAGGUCCUGCAUCAAGGACACUCCGGUUCCUUGUGCUCAUUGCUCCACCAUCCACACUGCCAUUCACGGUGCCCAAAAUGGGACUCGUGCCGGUUCCAAGCAGGACAUCUCCUUCUUCCAGCCAUGAGAACUCCGCUUGUGCAGACCGGGGAAAUGAGUGCCUCAUUACUCAGCCAACUGGAAUGUGGGAGAAUUAGAUCUCAAGAAAAAUGACCCAUGAAUGGACCCUGGUGAUCCAGGGCCUUGAAGGUUCAGAGGUGCUUCCUCCUGAGUCCGCACUGGCCCCAAGCUUUCCUUCCCGUGCCUUCUGCAGUUACCAUUUACAGGACACUCGCUACGCGCUGAGCACGGUGCUCAGUGCUCUCCCGCCAUCAGCUGAUUUUCUCAUCUUCACAACAGUCCUGCAGUAAAUGACAUCCGGAAGGAAGCAGCCCAGGCUGCUACCACAGCUUCAUAACCAUCAGACUGGGGCUCCUCCUGACUGGGGCUCUCCAUCCUCAGUGCAUGCCUUCCACUUGUGACCCAAGACACUGCUGGAGGAGGAAGGAGCCAAGAAGAAGGCCACUUCUCCUCCAAGGACACUUCCUGGAAUUCCCUUCCGCUUAUCCCCCACUAACCAGAACUAACUCCCAAGGUCCCUGGGAAAUAGGGUAUUAUCAAAGUAGGGGUUCUAUUCCCAUGGCCAAGGGGGUGAACAGAUAUGGGGGGCCCACUGGCCUCUCUGCCACGUUUCACAAACUUCUUUCCAGUGUGUAUAGUUUUGUAUCCUGGUUUUUUCUCUCUCUCUCUUUUUUUUUUUUGGUG
Molecule: long non-coding RNA, 1834 nt
Organism: Equus asinus (donkey)
Lineage: Eukaryota; Metazoa; Chordata; Mammalia; Perissodactyla; Equidae
Source: Ensembl